This 326-nucleotide ribosomal RNA is filed under the name uncultured eukaryote. RNAcentral describes it as "partial 18S ribosomal RNA". It matches the Rfam family "Eukaryotic small subunit ribosomal RNA", at positions 1470 to 1796 of the family's 1831-position model. The record is from RNAcentral.
CCCUUAGAUGUUCUGGGCUGCACGCGCGCUAAACUGAUGCACUCAACGAGUUUACGACCUUGCCCGAUAGGGUUGGGUAAUCUUUUUAAAAUGCAUCGUGAUGGGGAUAGAUUAUUGCAAUUAUUAAUCUUCAACGAGGAAUUCCUAGUAAGCGCGAGUCAUCAGCUCGUGCUGAUUACGUCCCUGCCCUUUGUACACACCGCCCGUCGCUCCUACCGAUUGAGUGCUCAGGUGAAUAAUUCGGACUGCAGCAAUGUUUGGAUCCCGAACGUUGCAGCGGAAAGUUUAGUGAACCUUAUCACUUAGAGGAAGGAGAAGUCGUAACA